GACGAACGCUGGCGGCGUGCCUAAUACAUGCAAGUUGAGCGCUGAAGGUUGGUACUUGUACCAACUGGAUGAGCAGCGAACGGGUGAGUAACGCGUGGGGAAUCUGCCUUUGAGCGGGGGACAACAUUUGGAAACGAAUGCUAAUACCGCAUAAAAACUUUAAACACAAGUUUUAAGUUUGAAAGAUGCAAUUGCAUCACUCAAAGAUGAUCCCGCGUUGUAUUAGCUAGUUGGUGAGGUAAAGGCUCACCAAGGCGAUGAUACAUAGCCGACCUGAGAGGGUGAUCGGCCACAUUGGGACUGAGACACGGCCCAAACUCCUACGGGAGGCAGCAGUAGGGAAUCUUCGGCAAUGGACGAAAGUCUGACCGAGCAACGCCGCGUGAGUGAAGAAGGUUUUCGGAUCGUAAAGCUCUGUUGGUAGAGAAGAACGUUGGUGAGAGUGGAAAGCUCAUCAAGUGACGGUAACUACCCAGAAAGGGACGGCUAACUACGUG
RNAcentral lists this ribosomal RNA (497 nucleotides) under uncultured bacterium. RNAcentral's name for it is "partial 16S ribosomal RNA". It matches the Rfam family "Bacterial small subunit ribosomal RNA", at positions 28 to 507 of the family's 1533-position model. The record is from RNAcentral.